GUUAAGUUAUCCAAUUAUUUAAAUUAAUUAUUAUUAUAUUCAGUCAACAUUCUUAUACUGCAUGCAUGUUGAAUGUGAUUUAUGUUCCAUGUUAAGGAUGCAAGUAAGAUGGCACCAACAACAGCAGCAGAAAGGCAAAGGAAGUAUCGUGAACGCCUUAAAGCUGAUCCUGAAAGAAGGGAGAGAAACCUGCAGACUGAGCGUGAGAGAUGGAGAAAGAAUGUAGAGGCAGGGAAGAAGAAAGCAAUUAAUGAACUGAGUAAAAGAGAACAGCGUAAGAAAAGAAAAAUGUGGAGAACAGCUUACCAUAGGAGCAAGGAGAGGAAAGAAGUGCUCAAGAACUUGAGCACUCCUCCACAGAGUCCUGAUCAGGGAGAUCACCCAGAGCAGCCUUCACAGCCAAGAUCUUCAAGGCAACGUCUGGUGGCUCGGAAAAAGUACAGAACAGAAAAAAAUAAGCUCAAGAGGCAAAUAGCGGAACUCCAGGAAAAACUUGAAAAAGAAAGAAAAAGCAAAGAAAAAUACAAAAAAAGGUGCCAACGUUCAAAGAACUUUUCGGAUUCCCCACAGUCAAAAAUAACACGACUCGCUUCACAUUGCCCCGUUAACCCCCAAAUAAAAAAAACCUUACUUUUCCAUGAAUCACUCAUUGAAGAUAUUAGGAAUAAAUACAAAAAUGCCACCAAGGACAGAGAAAGGCAGCUGAUUGCCAAAGUCGCGACAGGGAGAAUUAUAAAAAAAUACAGGUUGCAAAAGUUUGCAAGUGACUCCCUCGGAUUUUCAAACAAGAAUUUUAGACAUCAUGACAGUCUUCAUUUUGAAAGAAAGAGGACCAGCAGGUUUACUGAAGACUUCAAAAAAAGAAUCAAGGCAUUCUAUCUCAUGGAUGACGUGAGUAGAAUUACCACAGGAACCAAACAAACACUCACAAAGGACAAAUUAAAAAUGCAGAAGAGGUUCCUGAUGGACACAAUGGAAAAUAUCCACAGAAGAUUUUUGGCAGAAAACCCAGACCAGAUGAUAUCCUAUUCCCUUUUCUGUCAUCUUCGCCCCUUUUGGGUUGUGAAUCCAACACUCUCUGAACGUGACACAUGCAUGUGUAAGUUGCAUGAAAAUCUCAGCUUUCUGGCAGUGAAGCUCCGUCAGUUGAAACUCAUUGAGACUGCCAACAUUGAAGAGUUGAUAGAGAAGGUUUGCUGCAACUCAUCCAGCAAGAGUUGCAUGUAUGGAGAGUGUGUCCAUUGCAAGGACAAAACUGUCCACAUCACAAGUGCAUACAACAGCACCGCAACCACAUCAUUUACCCAGUGGGUGAUAGAGGAAAAGGAGAUAGACAAAAAGGGAGAAAAGGCAACUGUCAAAGUGACAGUCAAGAAAUCUGUGGAGGGCACACAAGAGGACCUCAUUGAGCUCUUCCAGAGCUUUGUAAAGAAAUUUAAAAUGCAUCACUUUAAUAUCAAGCAGCAGUAUGCCUUCUGCCGUGAGCUGAAGAACAACAUGUCAGGGGAGGAGGCUUUGAUACAUGUUGACUUCUCAGAAAACUACAGUUGUAAAUACAGUUCUCAAGUUCAGGCGGUCCACUUUGGGGCUUCACAUCAGCAGGCCACCCUUCAUACUGGUGUGUUGUAUGUUGGUGGACUCUCAGAGCCUGUGUGCUUUAGCACCAUCUCCCCGAGUAGACAUAAAGGCCCUCCAGCAUUAUGGCAGCACCUAAAUCCUGUGCUAGAUUACCUUCAAGGCCAACAUCCACAAGUGUCUGUGCUGCACUUUUUAAGCGACGGACCCUGUACGCAAUACAAACAACGAGGAAACUUCUACCUUUUCACUACAGAACUGGACAGAAGAGGAUUCAAGGCUGGUUCUUGGAAUUUUUUUGAGGCUAGUCAUGGAAAAGGAGCACCAGAUGGUGUCGGGGGAGCCUUAAAAAGAGCAGCUGACAUGAUGGUAGCAAAGGGGCAUGACAUCCCAGAUGCAGAAGAGUUAUUCAGGGCCUUGUCUGAAACAAACACAAGUGUGAAACUGUUCUUUGUGAAACGUGAAGAUGUUGAGGAAGCUAUGAAGAAAAUGCCAAAGCAGAUACCAGCUGUUCCUGGAACCAUGAGACUUCACCAGGUCAUUACUGUAGCUCCAGGAGAACGGAUGGUUCGUGAUGUAAGCUGCAUGUGCACAACAAGGAAGCUGUUUAACUGCAAGUGCUUUAACACCCAGUGUUUCACUUUUGGCCAGACGAUAGAAACGUCUGUAUCACAGACAGGCAGUGGGGGGAAUCCAGAAAAAGAAAUCCAGUGGGAAAGUCCAGAGCUGAUUGGUAAAUGGUGUAUUCUCAGAUAUGAUGAUGAUUUGUAUCCAGGCAUCAUUCUAAACAUACAAACAACACAAGUCCAGGUCAAAUGCAUGCAUCGUGUUGGGUCAAACCGAUUCUUCUGGCCGCAUCAGGAUGAUAUCCUCUGGUACCUGUUUGAUGAUGUCCUUGAACUCAUUCCACCCCCACAGGCUGUGACAAGACGCCAUGUGGAAGUUUUGAAAGAGGUGUGGAACCGACUCACAAGAUGA
Molecule: long non-coding RNA, 2553 nt
Organism: Oreochromis niloticus (Nile tilapia)
Lineage: Eukaryota; Metazoa; Chordata; Actinopteri; Cichliformes; Cichlidae
Source: Ensembl